AACGAGCACACACGGUUUAUACGUCCAACCAUAAAUUUUAAUGAAGCUAGAGAUACACAGAAGAAAGUUGGAUAGAAUAGAAAGAAAAUUACGACAUUGAAUAGACCUAUAAACUUCAAUAAAUGGAUAUAUAACUGCAAUAAAAGAUGUCACAAAAGAUUCUCUACGAAAAAAACUCAAGAGUGUUAAAGAAUAUCCUAAAUGAAAGUUUAUGGUGAUGAAAGAGAACUCGAUUCAGUUCAGGACCACCUGUCAUCUAAAAAAAAGGAAACAAAAUGCAGACGAUUGGAGACAUUGGCGUUAGAGUCACAAACUUUUGUUAAAAGUUCUUGAACUCAAUAUCAUUUCGUGAAGUUGAACUUUAGAUGCAGUCAUUUUGCAGUAAAAUUAUACGUCUGGAGUGCAAUGGAUUGACGCCCCUAGAAGGUGAAUUAGGGGUUGCACGAGUCAGUCAGUGAAAAAAAAAAAGAAAAAAUAUAAAAAAAUAAAUCGAAAAUCAUCGAUUGAAUCUAACUGUAGACAAAAGAAACUGAGAAUGGAAGAGAAGACAGCUUCAAAUGGCUAAAAUUCGAGUCGGUGUUUGGCGAGAUCCUUUUUAAGAGUCUUGAGUUACUCGCUGCUAUUCAUCUUUUAUUUUAUUCUAUUUUUUUAUAUGUUUGAGAAAGGGCUUAACCUUUUACUAGGAUGAAAAGUCAAGAUUGAGAAUGAUUAAUGAGAAACAUGUCGAUAACUUUUACAACAUGGUUU
Centruroides sculpturatus (bark scorpion) is the source of this 747-nucleotide long non-coding RNA. RefSeq lists it as uncharacterized. NCBI's taxonomy places the organism in Eukaryota, Metazoa, Arthropoda, Arachnida, Scorpiones, Buthidae. The record is from RefSeq and is a predicted model, not a curated record. The transcript has 4 exons.